UGUUUCGGCUAGGGGGCCAUCCCGGCUUACCAACCCGAUGCAAACUGCGAAUACCGGAGAAUGUUAUCACGGGAGACACACGGCGGGUGCUAACGUCCGUCGUGAAGAGGGAAACAACCCAGACCGCCAGCUAAGGUCCCAAAGUCAUGGUUAAGUGGGAAACGAUGUGGGAAGGCCCAGACAGCCAGGAUGUUGGCUUAGAAGCAGCCAUCAUUUAAAGAAAGCGUAAUAGCUCACUGGUCGAGUCGGCCUGCGCGGAAGAUGUAACGGGGCUAAACCAUGC
This 283-nucleotide ribosomal RNA is filed under the name Salmonella enterica. RNAcentral's name for it is "partial 23S ribosomal RNA". It matches the Rfam family "Bacterial large subunit ribosomal RNA", at positions 911 to 1192 of the family's 2925-position model. Lineage: Bacteria; Pseudomonadati; Pseudomonadota; Gammaproteobacteria; Enterobacterales; Enterobacteriaceae. The record is from RNAcentral.